RNAcentral lists this ribosomal RNA (370 nucleotides) under uncultured organism. RNAcentral's name for it is "bacterial SSU rRNA". It matches the Rfam family "Bacterial small subunit ribosomal RNA", at positions 526 to 896 of the family's 1533-position model. The record is from RNAcentral.
CGUAGGGUGCAAGCGUUAAUCGGAAUUACUGGGCGUAAAGCGUGCGCAGGCGGUUUCGUAAGUCUGUCGUGAAAUCCCCGGGCUUAACCUGGGAAUGGCGAUGGAGACUGCGAAGCUAGAGUUUGGCAGAGGGGGGUAGAAUUCCACGUGUAGCAGUGAAAUGCGUAGAGAUGUGGAGGAACACCGAUGGCGAAGGCAGCCCCCUGGGUCAAAACUGACGCUCAUGCACGAAAGCGUGGGGAGCAAACAGGAUUAGAUACCCUGGUAGUCCACGCCCUAAACGAUGUCUACUAGUUGUUGGGUCUUAAUUGACUUAGUAACGCAGCUAACGCGUGAAGUAGACCGCCUGGGGAGUACGGUCGCAAGAUUA